RNAcentral lists this ribosomal RNA (627 nucleotides) under uncultured fungus. RNAcentral describes it as "eukaryotic LSU rRNA". It matches the Rfam family "Eukaryotic large subunit ribosomal RNA", at positions 23 to 664 of the family's 3401-position model. Lineage: Eukaryota; Fungi. The record is from RNAcentral.
ACCCGCUGAACUUAAGCAUAUCAAUAAGCGGAGGAAAAGAAACCAACAGGGAUUGCCUCAGUAACGGCGAGUGAAGCGGCAACAGCUCAAAUUUGAAAUCUGGUCCUUUCAGGGCCCGAGUUGUAAUUUGUAGAAGAUGCUUCGAGCGUGGCGCCGGUCUAAGUUCCUUGGAACAGGACGUCAUAGAGGGUGAGAAUCCCGUAUGCGACUAGCCGCCUUCGUUUAUGUGAAGCUCUUUCGACGAGUCGAGUUGUUUGGGAAUGCAGCUCAAAAUGGGUGGUAUAUUUCAUCUAAAGCUAAAUAUUGGCCAGAGACCGAUAGCGCACAAGUAGAGUGAUCGAAAGAUGAAAAGCACUUUGGAAAGAGAGUUAAACAGUACGUGAAAUUGUUGAAAGGGAAGCGCUUGCAACCAGACUUGCACGCUGCCGAUCAUCUGGGGUUCUCCCCAGUGCACUCGGUUGUGUUCAGGCCAGCAUCGGUUUGGGUGGUUGGAUAAAGGCCUUGGGAAUGUAGCUUCUUUCGGGGAGUGUUAUAGCCCUCGGUGCAAUGCAGCCUACCCGGACCGAGGACCGCGCUUCGGCUAGGAUGCUGGCGUAAUGGUUGUAAGCGACCCGUCUUGAAACACGG